Molecule: transfer RNA, 72 nt
Filed under: Oscillospiraceae bacterium
Lineage: Bacteria; Bacillati; Bacillota; Clostridia; Eubacteriales; Oscillospiraceae
Description: tRNA-Gln
Rfam family: tRNA
About the family: Transfer RNA (tRNA) molecules are approximately 80 nucleotides in length. Their secondary structure includes four short double-helical elements and three loops (D, anti-codon, and T loops). Further hydrogen bonds mediate the characteristic L-shaped molecular structure. tRNAs have two regions of fundamental functional importance: the anti-codon, which is responsible for specific mRNA codon recognition, and the 3' end, to which the tRNAs corresponding amino acid is attached (by aminoacyl-tRNA synthetases). tRNAs cope with the degeneracy of the genetic code in two manners: having more than one tRNA (with a specific anti-codon) for a particular amino acid; and 'wobble' base-pairing, i.e. permitting non-standard base-pairing at the 3rd anti-codon position.
Source: RNAcentral
UGGGGCAUAGCCAAGCGGUAAGGCAACGGACUUUGACUCCGUCACCCGCUGGUUCGAAUCCAGCUGUCCCAA